RNAcentral lists this ribosomal RNA (401 nucleotides) under uncultured bacterium. Its description in RNAcentral is "bacterial SSU rRNA". It matches the Rfam family "Bacterial small subunit ribosomal RNA", at positions 355 to 772 of the family's 1533-position model. The record is from RNAcentral.
UUAGGAAUCUUGCGCAAUGGGCGAAAGCCUGACGCAGCAACGCCGCGUGGGGGAUGAAGGCUCUCGGGUCGUAAACCCCUUUCAGCGGGGACGAUUGUGACGGUACCCGCAGAAGAAGGACCGGCCAACUACGUGCCAGCAGCCGCGGUAAUACGUAGGGUCCAAGCGUUGUCCGGAUUUAUUGGGCGUAAAGAGCUCGUAGGCGGUUUCGUAAGUCGGAUGUGAAAACUCAGGGCUCAACCCGGAGACGCCAUCUGAUACUGCGAUGACUGGAGUUUGGUAGGGGAACACGGAAUUCCUGGUGUAGCGGUGAAAUGCGCAGAUAUCAGGAGGAACACCGAUGGCGAAGGCAGUGUUCUGGGCCAGUACUGACGCUGAGGAGCGAAAGCGUGGGGAGCAAA